Molecule: long non-coding RNA, 402 nt
Organism: Panonychus citri (citrus red mite)
Lineage: Eukaryota; Metazoa; Arthropoda; Arachnida; Trombidiformes; Tetranychidae
Exons: 3
Source: RefSeq, a predicted model, not a curated record
AAAAUGUCUCUUGAGAUGUGCCGCAAUCACCAGUGGAAUUCUAACAUUAAUUUUAUCUGGAGUAUUAACUUAUACACUUUACUUAAUUUCUCUUAAUUAUAACAAAAAAAAAUGUGACCUCGAUUGUGGACCCAAUGGAAACUGUCAAAGUGAUCGGUGUGUUUGUAAUGAAGGUUGGACUGGAUUGAAAUGUGAACAACGUUUAUGUGACCGUCGGUGUUUGAAUCAUGGUCAGUGUUACAAUGGAACUUGUUUCUGUCACCAAGGAUGGAACGGAAAAUUGUGUACAUUAGAGGGUUGUCCUCGAAAUUGUAACGAUCGUGGAGCUUGUGUUGAGCAAAAUGGUGAAUAUUUUGUUCCUGUAAUGUCGAUGUAAAAUCGAUUGAUUUAGAUAUUUUUCUU